CGGCGAUGGCCUUCUCUGCAACCUCUCUCUCCUCAUUUUCCUCACUAUCCAUCCGUACAACUCGAUUCUCUGUCCUCAACCAACACCCACUUCCUAACAACCUCACUCCCAAAUCCAAAGCCUCGAAACCUUUUCCUGUCUUCCCCUUUAAACUCACAUCCACCACCAAACUUAAAGCCGCCGACUCCGAAACCACUUUCUUCGAAGACCCCAGCCUCCAGGAAGAAGUCGUUUUCGAACCCACCCCACCCCCAGAAGGCUUCGUCCCACCUCCCUCCUUUGACGAUGGCCCUAUGGAAACCGAGGACGAAAUUGCCGCCGCUUACGAAGAAAUCUACGGCCCCGCAUACAGUGGAGUCAGCUUGUUGGGCAAUGACCCCUUUGUGAUGGACUCUAAAAUGAAAAAAUCAACAGGGUUUGGCUCCAAAGUGAAGAAAGAGAAGGUGCGAGAUGGGUUCGAAGAACGGGUGGUUCAGGUGAGAAGGGUCACCAAGGUGGUGAAGGGUGGGAAGCAAUUGCAUUUUAGGGCUGUUGUUGUUGUGGGUGAUAAGCAGGGCCAAGUGGGUGUCGGUGUUGGCAAAGCUAAAGAGGUUAUAGCGGCGGUUCAGAAAUCGGCCACCAAUGCUCGCCGGAAUAUAAUUACGGUACCCAUGACUAAGUACUUGACGUUCCCGCAUAGGUAUUGUAUCUUUUGCUCUGUGCUUUUGGUUGAUUUAAUGUUGGAAUUAUGAAUGCUUUUGUUUUGCCCUCCCUUUGGCUGCUGAGACAAAUGUGGAAAAGAAAUUUGGUGUUUUAUAUUUUGUGCUGUUUAGUUUAGUUUCUAAGAAAAUGAAAAUUUUGACCUGGAAAAAGAUUAGCAUAGGAAUUGAUUGAGUUGGUUAUUUAAUUUUUCUUUAGGUGAAUCUGAAACAUAAGGCCUUUUUUUCCUUAAGUUUCUCAGCAACCAAGUGGGGUUAUAUGUUGGCAUGUAGAAGUUAAGUUAAUUUGGAAAUAGAUUAUUGGAAUGGAAUUGAGGUUGAACCAUUUAGCAAUUCACUUGACAUUUGAACGGCUGAGUUUAACAGUUGUCCUACUCAAGACUUAUGACAAUUUCAAUGAGAUUUCCAGAGUACAAAAUUCUAUUUUUCAAAAUUUUUUAAUGGACCUUUUUAUAUACAAGUUCCAAUGGUUGUGGUGUUCCUUUC
Vitis vinifera (wine grape) is the source of this 1184-nucleotide RNA transcript. It is a transcript of the gene named ribosomal protein S5 pseudogene, with no coding region annotated. The record is from RefSeq and is marked validated. NCBI's taxonomy places the organism in Eukaryota, Viridiplantae, Streptophyta, Magnoliopsida, Vitales, Vitaceae.